CCUACGUGAGGCAGCAGUGGGGAAUAUUGCGCAAUGGGCGAAAGCCUGACGCAGCGACGCCGCGUGAGGGAUGAAGGUCUUCGGAUCGUAAACCUCUGUCAGCAGGGAAGAACGGUCACUGUGCUAAUCAGCAGUGAAUUGACGGUACCUGCAAAGGAAGCACCGGCUAACUCCGUGCCAGCAGCCGCGGUAAUACGGAGGGUGCGAGCGUUAAUCGGAAUUACUGGGCGUAAAGCGCUCGUAGGCGGUAUGUCAAGUCAAGGGUGAAAUCCCCGCGCUCAACGUGGGAACUGCCUUUGAAACGGGCAAACUGGAGUGUGUGAGAGGAUAGUGGAAUUCCAGGGGUAGGAGUGAAAUCCGUAGAUAUCUGGAGGAACAUCAGUGGCGAAGGCGACUAUCUGGCACAUAACUGACGCUGAGGAGCGAAAGCGUGGGUAGCAAACAGGAUUAGAUACCCUAGUAGUC
This 465-nucleotide ribosomal RNA is filed under the name uncultured bacterium. Its description in RNAcentral is "partial 16S ribosomal RNA". It matches the Rfam family "Bacterial small subunit ribosomal RNA", at positions 338 to 795 of the family's 1533-position model. The record is from RNAcentral.